This 253-nucleotide ribosomal RNA is filed under the name uncultured bacterium. RNAcentral's name for it is "partial 16S ribosomal RNA". It matches the Rfam family "Bacterial small subunit ribosomal RNA", at positions 524 to 776 of the family's 1533-position model. The record is from RNAcentral.
GACGGAGGAUGCAAGUGUUAUCCGGAAUCACUGGGCGUAAAGCGUCUGUAGGUGGUCAAAUAAGUCAACUGUUAAAUCUUGAGGCUCAACCUCAAAAUCGCAGUCGAAACUAUUCGACUAGAGUAUAGUAGGGGUAAAGGGAAUUUCCAGUGGAGCGGUGAAAUGCGUAAAGAUUGGAAAGAACACCGAUGGCGAAGGCACUUUACUGGGCUAUUACUAACACUCAGAGACGAAAGCUAGGGUAGCAAAUGGG